Molecule: ribosomal RNA, 749 nt
Filed under: uncultured Capnocytophaga sp.
Lineage: Bacteria; Pseudomonadati; Bacteroidota; Flavobacteriia; Flavobacteriales; Flavobacteriaceae
Description: bacterial SSU rRNA
Rfam family: Bacterial small subunit ribosomal RNA
Source: RNAcentral
GAUGAACGCUAGCGGCAGGCCUAACACGUGCAAGUCGAGGGAGAGGUUAUCUUCGGGUAACCAAAACCGGCGCACGGGUGCGUAACGCGUAUACAAUCUGCCUUUCACAUAGGGAUAGCCCGAAGAAAUUUGGAUUAAUACCUAAUGGUAUAUAAGAGCGGCAUCGUUUUUAUAUUAAAGCUACGGUGGUGAAAGAUGAGUAUGCGUUCUAUUAGCUAGUUGGAGAGGUAACGGCUCCCCAAGGCGACGAUAGAUAGGGGUUCUGAGAGGGAUGUCCCCCACACUGGUACUGAGAUACGGACCAGACUCCUACGGGAGGCAGCAGUGAGGAAUAUUGGACAAUGGUCGGAAGACUGAUCCAGCCAUGCCGCGUGCAGGAUGAAGGUCCUAUGGAUUGUAAACUGCUUUUGUAAGGGAAGAAUAAGGAGUACGUGUACUUUGAUGACGGUACCUUACGAAUAAGCAUCGGCUAACUCCGUGCCAGCAGCCGCGGUAAUACGGAGGAUGCGAGCGUUAUCCGGAAUCAUUGGGUUUAAAGGGUCCGUAGGCGGGCUGAUAAGUCAGAGGUGAAAGCGCUUAGCUCAACUAAGCAACUGCCUUUGAAACUGUCAGUCUUGAAUGAUUGUGAAGUAGUUGGAAUGUGUAGUGUAGCGGUGAAAUGCUUAGAUAUUACACAGAACACCGAUAGCGAAGGCAUAUUACUAACAAUUUAUUGACGCUGAUGGACGAAAGCGUGGGGAGCGAACAGG